GCGGGGAUGCCGGAGUGGUCAAACGGGACGCGCUCAAGACGCGUUAGCUCAGUGCUUGCCUAGGUUCGAAUCCUAGUCCCCGCA
Molecule: transfer RNA, 84 nt
Filed under: Candidatus Pacearchaeota archaeon
Lineage: Archaea; Nanobdellati
Description: tRNA-Leu
Rfam family: tRNA
About the family: Transfer RNA (tRNA) molecules are approximately 80 nucleotides in length. Their secondary structure includes four short double-helical elements and three loops (D, anti-codon, and T loops). Further hydrogen bonds mediate the characteristic L-shaped molecular structure. tRNAs have two regions of fundamental functional importance: the anti-codon, which is responsible for specific mRNA codon recognition, and the 3' end, to which the tRNAs corresponding amino acid is attached (by aminoacyl-tRNA synthetases). tRNAs cope with the degeneracy of the genetic code in two manners: having more than one tRNA (with a specific anti-codon) for a particular amino acid; and 'wobble' base-pairing, i.e. permitting non-standard base-pairing at the 3rd anti-codon position.
Source: RNAcentral